Molecule: unclassified non-coding RNA, 306 nt
Filed under: uncultured fungus
Lineage: Eukaryota; Fungi
Description: partial contains 5.8S ribosomal RNA, internal transcribed spacer 2, and large subunit ribosomal RNA
Source: RNAcentral
AACGCACAUUGCGCCCGCCGGCACUCUGGCGGGCACGCCUGUUCGAGCGUCGCUUCCCCGCCCGGGCCCCGGCCGCCCCCCCGGCGGCCCGGCGUCGGGGCACCGCGGUCAACCCCCCGCGGGCCCCAAGAUGUAGCGGCGGACCCCCCCUCGCGGCCCUGGGCGCAGUAGUCUUCGGAACCUCGCCCCGGCGGCCCGCGGAGAGGCCCCGUACCCCAACCGACGAGGCGGUCGCGCCCCUGGCGCCCGCCGAGCCGGCCGACAGCAGUCGACCUCGGAUCAGGCGGGACUACCCGCUGAACUUAA